RNAcentral lists this unclassified non-coding RNA (335 nucleotides) under soil metagenome. Its description in RNAcentral is "partial contains 5.8S ribosomal RNA, internal transcribed spacer 2, and large subunit ribosomal RNA". The stretch from base 1 to 120 matches the Rfam family "5.8S ribosomal RNA", at positions 35 to 154 of the family's 154-position model. The record is from RNAcentral.
GAUGAAGAACGUAGCGAAAUGCGAGAAGUAAUGUGAAUUGCAGAAUUCAGUGAAUCAUCGAAUCUUUGAACGCACAUUGCGCCCAUUAGCAUUCUAGUGGGCAUGCCUGUUCGAGCGUCAUUUCAACCCUUAAGCCCUGUUGCUUAGCGUUGGGAGCCUACAGUACUGUAGCUCCCCAAAGUUAGUGGCGGAGUCGGUUUCACACUCUAGACGUAGUAAUUUUUUCUCGUCUGUAGUUGAGCCGGUCCCCUGCCGUAAAACACCCAAUUUAUCAAGGUUGACCUCGGAUCAGGUAGGAAUACCCGCUGAACUUAAGCAUAUCAAUAAGCGGAGGA